This is a long non-coding RNA of Passer domesticus (house sparrow), 529 nucleotides long. RefSeq lists it as uncharacterized. Lineage: Eukaryota; Metazoa; Chordata; Aves; Passeriformes; Passeridae. The record is from RefSeq and is a predicted model, not a curated record. The transcript is spliced from 5 exons.
CGUCUGCCAUGAACUCCUCUGUUCUCAGAGUGGACACAAUCGGCUCGGCUUUUUUCCAUUGUACUGCCAAAAUUCACCGAUUUCGAGCGCCAAAGGCAGCUUUUCAGAGGGAAUACAGAGGACUUAGGUGUGUCUGCAGGGAGGACUUGUCUAGCUGCUUUGCUGAUUCCUACACAAAAGCCCAGCUCCCAUGGCAGGGGUCCUCCGAGGGGAAAGAACAAAGCUACAGGACACCAGAAACCCCAUGAGCCAUCCAAAAACAUGAGGCAAAUGCUGAAAGAAUUGCUGCAGGGAGGAGGACAAGAAGUGGAUGGAGAGGCUGGGCAGAAGGCGGCGUUUACCAGAGGAAGCAGUGGCUCCAUGACAGCCUCUGCUGUAGGACUGGAGGCGAUGCCAGGCACAGGCCCAGGAGGUUGGGAACAAGACAUGGAUUAUCUGGGAAACCUGCUGGAUUAUGGCUUGAGACUCAUGGGAAAUCCUGGAGGCAAGUGCUCAAUGUACCUUUCCUGAGAGAAUACGCAGUGAGCAG